GCCAGGCAUGGUGGUGCAUCCCUGUAAUCCCAGAGACUCAGGAGGCUGAGGCAGGAGGAUCAUGAGUUUGAAACCAGCCUCAGCAACUUAGGGAGGCCCUAAGCAAUUUAGAGAGACCCUGUCUCAA
RNAcentral lists this small RNA (127 nucleotides) under Marmota monax (woodchuck). Lineage: Eukaryota; Metazoa; Chordata; Mammalia; Rodentia; Sciuridae. The record is from RNAcentral.